This 471-nucleotide ribosomal RNA is filed under the name uncultured Rhodocyclaceae bacterium. Its description in RNAcentral is "bacterial SSU rRNA". It matches the Rfam family "Bacterial small subunit ribosomal RNA", at positions 910 to 1382 of the family's 1533-position model. The record is from RNAcentral. Lineage: Bacteria; Pseudomonadati; Pseudomonadota; Betaproteobacteria; Rhodocyclales; Rhodocyclaceae.
UUGACGGGGACCCGCACAAGCGUGGAUGAUGUGGAUUAAUUCGAUGCAACGCGAAAACCUUACCUACCCUUGACAUGUCCGGAAUCCCGAAGAGAUUUGGGAGUGCUCGCAAGAGAACCGGAACACAGGUGCUGCAUGGCUGUCGUCAGCUCGUGUCGUGAGAUGUUGGGUUAAGUCCCGCAACGAGCGCAACCCUUGUCAUUAGUUGCCAUCAUUUGGUUGGGCACUCUAAUGAGACUGCCGGUGACAAACCGGAGGAAGGUGGGGAUGACGUCAAGUCCUCAUGGCCCUUAUGGGUAGGGCUUCACACGUCAUACAAUGGUCGGUACAGAGGGUUGCCAACCCGCGAGGGGGAGCUAAUCCCACAAAGCCGAUCGUAGUCCGGAUCGCAGUCUGCAACUCGACUGCGUGAAGUCGGAAUCGCUAGUAAUCGCGGAUCAGCAUGUCGCGGUGAAUACGUUCCCGGGUCUU